Molecule: ribosomal RNA, 301 nt
Filed under: uncultured bacterium
Lineage: Bacteria
Description: partial 16S ribosomal RNA
Rfam family: Bacterial small subunit ribosomal RNA
Source: RNAcentral
CAGCCGCCGCGGGAAUAUGAAGGGGGCUAGCGUUGCUCGGAAUGACUGGGCGUAAAGGGCGCGUAGGCGGCGAUCAAAGUCAGGCGUGAAAUUCCUGGGCUCAACCCAUAGCCUGCAGGCGAAACUGUCGGGCUUGAGUGUGUCAGAGGAUGGUGGAAUUCCCGGUGUAGCGGUGAAAUGCGUAGAGAUCGGGAGGAACAUCAGUGGCGAAGGCGGCCAUCUGGGACAACACUGACGCUGAGGCACGAAAGCGUGGGGAGCAAACAGGAUUAGAUACCCCUGUAGUCCCUGUCUCUUAUAC